GGGGUUGUAGCUCAGUGGUAGAGCAUUUGCCUGGCAUGUGUGAGGCAUUGGGUUCGAUUCUCAGCACCA
Molecule: transfer RNA, 69 nt
Filed under: Ictidomys tridecemlineatus (thirteen-lined ground squirrel)
Lineage: Eukaryota; Metazoa; Chordata; Mammalia; Rodentia; Sciuridae
Description: Spermophilus tridecemlineatus (thirteen-lined ground squirrel) tRNA
Rfam family: tRNA
About the family: Transfer RNA (tRNA) molecules are approximately 80 nucleotides in length. Their secondary structure includes four short double-helical elements and three loops (D, anti-codon, and T loops).
Source: Rfam by way of RNAcentral